CGCCUCUCCGCGCACGAACGGAGCUCUCCGAGCUGCAGCCUGUGUCCAGGCACCUGCUGCCGGCCUGUUGGCUGGGAGGGAAUCCCUAAUCCUGCAGUGGUCUCACUGAUGACAUCGAGCUUGGGAUCUCGCCGCCGUGGAGGAAGCGGACGCGCAGUGACAUGAUGUGACAGUCCAGGGGCCCAAGCGGGGAGACCAGCCGCCCCGAGGCCCCCGGCUGCUCCCAGAUGUUCAGCUAAAUGGGGUCGUGCUGGAUGAGGGUGGGCCUGGACCCGGUGACCGGAGCCCUUGUAAGAAGAGCGGGACGUAGACACGGACAGCCCAGGAGGAGCCCAAGUGACACCGGAGGCGGAGGACGGAGAGACAGGUGCACAAGCCCAGGGACGCCAGGGGGCACUGGACGCUGGGGCAGCGAGCGAGGGUCCUUGAGAGAGAACGCCACCUGCCCACACCGGGAUCUUGGGCUCCAGCCUCCAGAACUGCACGUCCGCUGUGCUAAGCUCCCAGCUGGUGGCCUUUGUUAGCGCAGCCCCGGGACGUGGCCACGCCCGCUGCCACCCACUUCCCUAGUGUGCCCGUCUCCUCCCAGCCCAACACGUGCGAGUGCAAGGCCGGCCUUCCUGCACAGCUUGUGGGCUUCCUUCCUUGGUGGGGGUAAAGCUGUCCUUUCAGGAAGGGAUGGCGGCCGGCGGUACCCCAUUUUACAGAAGGAAAAGCCAAGACUCUGGAGGGCUCCCCACAGCGCGCCGCCGCACGGCGCCUCACAGCCACGUCCCCUGCCGCCCGCCCAGCUCGGCCUCCUUCCUGCCCACAUGUUGGGCCGAGUCCUCAGAAUUCCCG
Hyaena hyaena (striped hyena) is the source of this 840-nucleotide long non-coding RNA. RefSeq lists it as uncharacterized. The record is from RefSeq and is a predicted model, not a curated record. The transcript is spliced from 3 exons. Lineage: Eukaryota; Metazoa; Chordata; Mammalia; Carnivora; Hyaenidae.